CAUACAGCCCAGGGGAGGGAUGGAGCUGAGAUGGACAGGGAGGGAGACACCGGCUUACGACGUCAAAGGAGUACAGACACACACACACACACACUCACACUCACACACGCACACACACGCAGGCAGAGGGAAGGGAAAGGAGAGGAGAGGAGAGGACAGCCAACCAGACUGCCAAUUCCCUCCGGUCUACUGAAGGAAGCCUGAAUAUUCCUCUGUCACAACACUCUAUUUAACCAGUAAGAGAUUUGUUUAUUUUAUUUUUUUUUUAUAGCAGAUUUAUUUGAAGAGGAGAGAGCGAGAGAGAGAAAAAAAAUCGGAGCAUCUGUCAGGGAAAAAAGCACGGAGGAAAAAAAAAAAAAAAACAAGAAGCAGAUCUAGAGAAAAAAGCCCGCUCAUGCCGAAUAAAAGGACCGUCGCUGGAUGAGACUUGUGUUGUUUUAGGGGGCGUGCAGGCCUGAACUUGUUACAGGAAUCAAAGACAAAUGAACUGACUGACUGAGCUUUAAUAAGUAGAAGAAGAAGGAGAAGAAGAGAGGAAAAAAAAAAGCGAAGGGGAAGAAGAAAGGCAAUCAUCUGAUCACGCCGAUUCUCUGCCACGACCAGCACCACAGACUUCUCAAUGAAGGAGCCUGACGCAAUCAAGCUCUUCAUCGGGCAGAUACCCCGAAACCUGGAGGAGAAGGAUCUGAAGCCCAUCUUUGAGCAGUUUGGCAAGAUCUAUGAGCUGACAGUGAUAAAGGACAAAUACACGGGGAUGCACAAAGGAUGUGCCUUCCUGACAUACUGUGCACGUGAGUCUGCCCUCAAAGCCCAGAACGCGCUGCACGAGCAGAAGACACUACCAGGGAUGAACCGCCCAAUCCAGGUGAAGCCGGCAGACAGCGAGAGCAGAGGGGAAGACAGGAAGCUGUUUGUGGGCAUGCUGGGGAAGCAGCAGACGGACGCCGAUGUGAGGAAAAUGUUUGAGCCGUUCGGGAGCAUAGAGGAGUGCACGGUCCUCCGUGGGCCCGAUGGCACCAGCAAAGGGUGUGCAUUUGUAAAGUUCCAGAGCAACGCAGAGGCCCAGGCUGCCAUUAACACCCUGCACGGGAGCCGUACUUUACCUGGCGCCUCGUCCAGCCUGGUGGUGAAGUUCGCCGAUUCCGAGAAGGAGCGAGGACUGAGGCGGAUGCAGCAGGUGGCCUCUCAGCUGGGGGUCAUCAGUCCCAUGACCCUGCACCUCGGGGCCUACAACGCCUACACGCAGGCCUUGAUGCAGCAGCAGGCCUUGGUGGCGCAGUCGGCCUACCUCUCUCCCGUUGCCACGGUGGCGGCCGUUCAGAUGCAGCAGCUCGCCGCCCUCAACCCCAGCAGCAUCAUUGCCACACCGAUUGCAUCCAUCACCCCGUCCUCAGGUACCAGCACUCCACCCUCCAUCGCAGCCACACCUGUUCCUGCUCUGCCUCCGCCCAUCGCGGUGAACAGCUACCCCUCCGUGCCAGCUCCACCCAACGGCCAGUCAGCCACAGAGACCCUGUACACCAACGGGGUUCACGCCUAUCAAGCUCAGAGUCCCGUCCUGGACCCCCUGCAGCAGGCCUACACAGGCAUGCAGCACUAUACAGCCACCUACCCUGCUGCCUACGGCCUGGUGGGACAGCCGUUCCCCCACCAGCCCACGCUGGUGGCUCAGCAGCCGCAGCAGCCUCAGCAGCUGCAGCAGCGAGAAGGUCCCGAGGGCUGUAACAUCUUCAUCUACCACCUGCCGCAGGAGUUCACCGACUCCGAGAUCCUGCAGAUGUUCCUGCCCUUCGGGAACGUCAUUUCCGCAAAGGUCUUUGUUGACCGUGCCACCAACCAGAGCAAAUGCUUUGGGUUUGUGAGCUUCGACAACCCAUCCAGCGCCCAGACUGCCAUCCAGGCCAUGAACGGCUUCCAGAUCGGCAUGAAGAGACUGAAGGUGCAGCUGAAGAGGCCCAAGGACGCCAACCGGCCUUACUGAGGGAGACUGUCCCGUCCAUACAUAAAUCGUGGAGACGUGCGUCGCUAUGGCGCAACCGCUAAAACCUCCCCCCUUCCUUCUCACAGCGUUGAAAACCUAAGAGUUGAAUCAAGAAUACCACUUGGGAUGUCCCAGCCUUUUUUGGUUGUUUGACCAACCGUAUAGCACAGGAGCAACACUUCACAAAAAGCAGUAACCACAUAUGUAUGCGCUUACAAGAACAACAACGACCGCAGCAAUCUCAGCAAACGACAAACGCAAACGACUGAAUCAGCCAUUCUCAGAAGUGCUCCAGAGUUCCUUAUCAUUCCACAGCUGGAUCCAUUUAUAUUAUGUACAUACUCUAUUGUUGGAAAACAAGAUAUACAUGUUAAGAAAACGCAUAUCACUGAUGUUAUUCUACUGAACAGGGUUCUACUGUAUAGUGUGAUUUGUGGUCUAUGGCGUCAACAGAGGGCCUGCCUAAGCAGUCGAUGGCAAAAGAAAAUACUAUUCUGUAUGAUUACCAUUGGUAAUAUUGUUAUGUAGAGUUAGUUUUAUUAUUUAUACAAAAUGUAAAAAAAAAAAAAAAAAAAAAACAUGGGGUGAUUACACUGAAAGAGAAGUCCAUUCCCUCUCUCUGUACAUACCUUGGUUUGGAAAAUGAAGGACUUAAAAACUUUGUGAGUCGAGAUUCUCUGCUGCCACUACUUUUGAAAAAUAAAGCGGAAGGAAGGGCUGGGAAUUUUUCUAUCUUGGUUUUUUACGUUUAAUUUAUUUGGUAAUAAAUUUGAUGGUGGGGAAGAUGUGACAAUUUCUUUUUUAUUUUAAGUGAAUAAAAAA
This is an RNA transcript of Salarias fasciatus (jewelled blenny), 2803 nucleotides long. It is a transcript of the gene named cugbp, Elav-like family member 3a, with no coding region annotated. NCBI's taxonomy places the organism in Eukaryota, Metazoa, Chordata, Actinopteri, Blenniiformes, Blenniidae. The record is from RefSeq and is a predicted model, not a curated record. The transcript has 15 exons.